CCUACGGGUGGCAGCAGUGAGGAAUAUUGGUCAAUGGGCGAGAGCCUGAACCAGCCAAGUAGCGUGAAGGAUGAAGGUUCUAUGGAUUGUAAACUUCUUUUAUAAGGGAAUAACCGACACCACGUGUGGUGUUCUGCAUGUACCUUAUGAAUAAGCAUCGGCUAACUCCGUGCCAGCAGCCGCGGUAAUACGGAGGAUGCGAGCGUUAUCCGGAUUUAUUGGGUUUAAAGGGAGCGUAGACGGGAUGUUAAGUCAGCUGUGAAAGUUUGGGGCUCAACCUUAAAAUUGCAGUUGAAACUGGCGUUCUUGAGUGCGGUAGAGGCAGGCGGAAUUCGUGGUGUAGCGGUGAAAUGCUUAGAUAUCACGAAGAACUCCGAUUGCGAAGGCAGCUUGCUGGAGCGUAACUGACGUUGAUGCUCGAAAGUGUGGGUAUCAAACAGGAUUAGAUACCCUUGUAGUC
RNAcentral lists this ribosomal RNA (460 nucleotides) under uncultured bacterium. RNAcentral describes it as "bacterial SSU rRNA". It matches the Rfam family "Bacterial small subunit ribosomal RNA", at positions 338 to 795 of the family's 1533-position model. The record is from RNAcentral.